This 253-nucleotide ribosomal RNA is filed under the name uncultured bacterium. RNAcentral describes it as "partial 16S ribosomal RNA". It matches the Rfam family "Bacterial small subunit ribosomal RNA", at positions 524 to 776 of the family's 1533-position model. The record is from RNAcentral.
UACGUAGGGUGCAAGCGUUGCCCGGAAUUAUUGGGCGUAAAGAGCUCGUAGGCGGUUUGUCGCGUCGAAUGUGAAAACCCGGGGCUCAACCCCGGGCCUGCAUUCGAUACGGGCAGACUAGAGUUCGGUAGGGGAGUCUGGAAUUCCUGGUGUAGCGGUGAAAUGCGCAGAUAUCAGGAGGAACACCGGUGGCGAAGGCGGGACUCUGGGCCGAUACUGACGCUGAGGAGCGAAAGCGUGGGGAGCAAACAGG